AACGAAAGUACAAAAUAUGAUGAUAGCAACACUUGGAAAUAAACAAUAAUACCUGGAAAUUACUGUAAAAUCUAGAUUAAGUGCAGAAUAUACUAUCAUACUGCUAUUAAGCUUACCUAUGAAGAGAAAAAAAAAAUUUUUGCCAGUCCUGAGGCUUGAACUCAGGGCCUGAGCCCACUCCCCAAGCUUCUUUUUGCUCAAGGCUAGCAUUCUACCACUUCAGCCAUAGUGCAAGUUUGGGCUUUUUCUGUUUAUGUGGUACUGAAGACUAGAACCCAGGCUUCAAGCGUGCUAGGCAAGCACUCUUCCAGCCCAUGAAGAGAAAUUUUAACUAUGAUUUGAAACAUUUAUGGUGUGCCAUAAGCAAAAGGAUCAAACUAUGAAUUACAUAAGAAAUGUGCAUAAAAAUGGAAAGAAUUAUCCCCUAUGAUGGUUAUCUUUAGGCACUGAUUUUUAUCUUAAACUUUAACUCAUUCUCCCCCAACAAUGAAAAGACAUGGUACAUACUGUCUUUUAAUUUAUAGAAAAUAAUGCUUAGGGGGCUGGGAAUGUGGCCUAGUGGCCCUGGCACUGUAGCUCAAGUGGUAGAGUGUUAGCCUUGAGCAAAA
Long non-coding RNA from Perognathus longimembris pacificus (Pacific pocket mouse), 608 nucleotides. RefSeq lists it as uncharacterized. The transcript has 3 exons. The record is from RefSeq and is a predicted model, not a curated record. Lineage: Eukaryota; Metazoa; Chordata; Mammalia; Rodentia; Heteromyidae.